AGCAGAUUGGCACAGGGGAAGCGUGCUGGGCCCAUAACCCAGAGGUCGGUGGAUCGAAACCACUCUCUGAUA
RNAcentral lists this transfer RNA (72 nucleotides) under Oopsacas minuta. Its description in RNAcentral is "tRNA-iMet". It matches the Rfam family "tRNA". Rfam says of the family: Transfer RNA (tRNA) molecules are approximately 80 nucleotides in length. Lineage: Eukaryota; Metazoa; Porifera; Hexactinellida; Lyssacinosida; Leucopsacidae. The record is from RNAcentral.